This 465-nucleotide ribosomal RNA is filed under the name Vreelandella stevensii. RNAcentral describes it as "partial 16S ribosomal RNA". It matches the Rfam family "Bacterial small subunit ribosomal RNA", at positions 338 to 795 of the family's 1533-position model. Lineage: Bacteria; Pseudomonadati; Pseudomonadota; Gammaproteobacteria; Oceanospirillales; Halomonadaceae. The record is from RNAcentral.
CCUACGGGGGGCUGCAGUGGGGAAUAUUGGACAAUGGGGGCAACCCUGAUCCAGCCAUGCCGCGUGUGUGAAGAAGGCCCUCGGGUUGUAAAGCACUUUCAGUGAGGAAGAACGCCUGGUGGUUAAUACCCAUCAGGAAAGACAUCACUCACAGAAGAAGCACCGGCUAACUCCGUGCCAGCAGCCGCGGUAAUACGGAGGGUGCGAGCGUUAAUCGGAAUUACUGGGCGUAAAGCGCGCGUAGGUGGCUUGAAAAGCCGGUUGUGAAAGCCCCGGGCUCAACCUGGGAACGGCAUCCGGAACUGUCAAGCUAGAGUGCAGGAGAGGAAGGUAGAAUUCCCGGUGUAGCGGUGAAAUGCGUAGAGAUCGGGAGGAAUACCAGUGGCGAAGGCGGCCUUCUGGACUGACACUGACACUGAGGUGCGAAAGCGUGGGUAGCAAACAGGAUUAGAUACCCUAGUAGUC